RNAcentral lists this ribosomal RNA (253 nucleotides) under uncultured bacterium. RNAcentral's name for it is "partial 16S ribosomal RNA". It matches the Rfam family "Bacterial small subunit ribosomal RNA", at positions 524 to 776 of the family's 1533-position model. The record is from RNAcentral.
UACGGAGGGUGCAAGCGUUGUCCGGAUUCAUUGGGUUUAAAGGGUGCGCAGGCGGGACCUUAAGUCAGGGGUGAAAGACGGUUGCUCAACAAUCGCAGUGCCUUUGAUACUGGUGUUCUUGGGUAACCUUGAGGUAGGCGGAAUGGGUGGUGUAGCGGUGAAAUGCAUAGAUACCACCCAGAACUCCGAUUGCGAAGGCAGCCUACUGGAGGUCAACCGACGCUCAGGCACGAAAGCGUGGGGAUCAAACAGG